This is a non-coding RNA of Oryctolagus cuniculus (rabbit), 1479 nucleotides long. Lineage: Eukaryota; Metazoa; Chordata; Mammalia; Lagomorpha; Leporidae. The record is from RefSeq and is a predicted model, not a curated record.
UGGAAAGUAAAUGCAACUUCUGUCAGAGCUGUUGUUGCUAGGAAACCAGAACACAAACAGAAGAUUCGAGAAAGCCCUUCUUUUGGCUCAGAUCUCAAGGACUGUUCUAAAUUGUGCAACAUAUGAUUUGGGAAGGUCAUGGCUGUUCAAGGGUUAUUUUUUUCUUUUUGUAACUGUCUCAGAGAUUGGCAAUGGGAAGAGAACUCCAACUUCUCAAACAGUAGCAACAUGGGAAUUGGGAGUGUCCCUGUUAGAUGGUCCCUAUGGUGGAAGAGACCAUAUGUGCAAAUGCUGCCUUUGUCCUGAUGAACAAAGCAAGGCGAGGACAACCAGGAAAGGAGGCUCAGAGAACAACUUCAAGCUCCGAGCAUCCAACAGAGUUUCUACUGGCUGAAGGGUAGUUUGGAUACGAUCACAGGUUCUAUCUGCUUCUUCCAAGCCUGUAGUCUCUCUUUUCUGCUUUACCACUAGAAGAUAAGAAAAAGGAAGGAAAACAGCCAAAGAGCAUUGGAGCAAGCUAAAGUGGACUAUUCCUCUGGGCCCCAACUAAUGAAAUUCAAGGACUCCCACAAGGAGAAAGGCAGCUGCAGUCCAAAUGUUCUAAGAGGAACUUAUAGGGCUCAAGGGCCCUAAACCUAGAAGGUGCGAUUGAUUUUGGCUCUGUUUCUUUCUCUCUCUGGAAAUUAAACAAUAUUAAUUCUGAAAGACUAUAUUCUCCUUGGAUCCCAGACAUUGCAAUACUUUAAGCACAGCCCCUUUGAAAGAGAUAUUGAAAUAAAAUUCAUUUAAUACUUUAAGUGAUCCUAAAUACUACUACAGCACAAUUUGUAUUCAAUAUUCUAAGACUUAUAAAUUUGCAUUCCUUUCAAAACAACAACAAUGAAACUCUCCAUUGUCCUUGUGAACUAGAAUAGACUCUAAAAAGUCUCCUCAUUAUUCACUCCCCCCAACCCCAGGAAAAGGAUUAAAUAUCUGUGGUCCUUGCCAUAUCUCCCUAGGAAAAUACAUAUUCUUCUCAUUGACUAUGGGCUCAGCCAGAGAAGCUGCUUUCCCCAGCAGAAAGUGAGAAGAGAAGUAAUCAUUUACAAGUAGAAGCUGUGAAAGUUAUUACAUGAUUCAACUACCUUUUACUUUUCCCUCUCACAAGACCAAGAACCUGGGCUCCAAGACAGUGAAGACAUAGGAAGCAGCAGUAGAGCUGUUUAGCAGAACUGAUUUAAAACCAACAUGUUACCAUAAGCAGAAAAUAAACAUGUGUUGUAAGCCACUGGAAUGUUUUGUUACUGUUUUUCAUUUUUCUGGUUAUUGUUAUAGUUUGUUAUUAUAACAUAGCCUAGACAAAGAAGACCAUUAUCUGAACCCAAUUUAUGGUAAUAAAGAGUUUGUCUUAAGAAGUCAGGUGAAAACACAUCAUGAUCACUUGUAGAAGGGUAACAACAAGUUCAUUAUUUUUAGUAGAUUACAUUUGCAAAGAGAUGA